GAUCAUGGCUCAGGAUGAACGCUGACAGAAUGCUUAACACAUGCAAGUCUACUUGAUCCUUCGGGUGAUGGUGGCGGACGGGUGAGUAACGCGUAAAGAACUUGCCUUGCAGUCUGGGACAACAUUUGGAAACGAAUGCUAAUACCGGAUAAUUAUGUGAGUUUCGCAUGAAAUUCAUAUGAAAGCUAUAUGCGCUGCAGGAGAGCUUUGCGUCCUAUUAG
RNAcentral lists this ribosomal RNA (221 nucleotides) under uncultured bacterium. Its description in RNAcentral is "partial 16S ribosomal RNA". It matches the Rfam family "Bacterial small subunit ribosomal RNA", at positions 15 to 244 of the family's 1533-position model. The record is from RNAcentral.